CUCCUGCCGCUCAGGCACAGCUCAGGGAGCAACUGGGGGCAGAGAGGCCCUCAUGGCUCUGGUGUGCAAGCAUGGGCGGGGCUUCUCAUGCUUUGAUGCGCUCACACAUGCGGCGGGGGCGGGGCUUGCCCAAGUGCGGAGCCCAGUUGAGCCUGUCUGGCAGGUGGGGCGGAGUUUCUGCAUUUCCCACCGGAACUCAGGUGAGGCUGGUGUUCCUGGUCCACGCCUGGCGUUCCUGGUCCACGCCUGGCGCCUGGUGCAUCUGGUGGCUGGAGCGCAGGGAAUCGGCAGAAGCUCGGAGCGGGAGGAGGGAGCUAGUGUUUCUAGGAGUGAACUGGAGGACCUCUGUCUGGGUAUCACGAGGCCGGACCUGCUGGGAGCUGGGCAUGGCCACUUGGAGUCCUUACCUCUCUGAGCCCACAUAUGCACAGCAGAACAGGGCAGUGGCAGAGGGCGAAGCAGGACUUGUGGUCAGACUGGGAGCAGCUUCCGUGAAUCACCUGUCUGGCGGGAGCAGACAGCAGAAGCCCAGGCUGGUGGGUCUUUUCCCAGCCUCUUGAACUGUGGUGUUAAUGCUUUGGAGGCCAUAAAUCUUUUUUAAAAUCACAUUUUGGCCCAGAGCUUUUUUCCCUUUUAAUUUUUAAAAUGGCGUAAUUUUAAAGGCAAUUUGAUUCAGAUGUUUUUCAUUGCUUUUCACCAAAACUGCCCAAACACUGUCGUAUUUUCCUCUGCAACAGUGGGUUUUCUUUUCCAAAAAUAUGCCUCAACCUGUCUGUGUGCCUCGGCUAAGCACCAAGGACCCAACUACUCCAGGUCUCCGGGCUGGGACAACUGGAAAGUCUGGAGCCAUAAAACUUGGAACUGAGUCUUGGUCUGAGAGCUUUGCUAAGUCCCUGAGGUCAUACAGCCAGACAGGCUUUAGAAACUCUGUGAGGCGCCUACAGUGGCCCCAUCUUACUGUCGCAGAGCGCCCACCAUGUGCUGGACCAGGGUCCUCCCCGUGUGGUCCCCCACCAGCAGUAGGAGCAUCCCUGGGAGUUAGGCACAGCCCCCCUGCCCCCAGGCCUCCAGGAGCACUGCUUCCGGGAGUGGGGCCCAGCAAGGUGGGGAUUCUGAUGCCCUUAUUAAGUGUUGGGCCCUCUGUGUUCUAGCUGCAUGUGGAGCUGCUAGGGGACAGUUACAGGAAACGGCAUGUGCUCACACUGGCCUGGCCCAGGGCACUUCAUAGGGAGUGGCUGCUCCCAUCGCUGCUCUUCUCCCAGGGGGGCACAGAGAAGCAGUAGGAAACAGCUCAGACCCUAGAGCCACACCACCCUGGUAAGGCCCUGCUCUGCUAACCUUGGGCGCAUCUGAACCUCCAUUUCCAAAUCUGCAAAAUGGACACAGUCAUGAUCCCUACCUCACAGCGUUGUGAGAAUUACUUGUGUCGAAUGCUAUAAAGCGGCAGGCACUAAGCGAGGUCUGUGUGAGGCCCAAGUUAAGGCUCUGCUUUAUGAACAAUUGCUAGUUUUCCUUGUCUAGGCUCUGGAGACUUUGUCUGACUCAAAAAGUCUUCCCUUCACUGGUGACUCUUGCUAGUUGACUUGUUGAGGCUGGACAGGGGGUAGGAAGACCAGAUCUCUGCUCUCUUCCUCCUCGAGAGUGGUGGAGGGAGCUCUAGGCUGGAGAUCGGGCCUGAGUGGAUGUCCUGCUUUACUGCAUUACCCCAGGCUGUCCUGGGUAGGUGACCUGAGUGGGUCGCUGGCCUUGCCCACUCAGCCUUCUCCCAUGUACACUAGAGGGUGGGGUCAGACCAGAGGUUGCCGAAUCUGGUCAAGCCCCAGCAUCCCAUGAGACAGCGGUAUUAAAUGCAGAUCCCCAGGCCACUCCAGACCUCCAGGAAUGGAAUAUCCCGCAGCCGGGGCCUGGGCGUGGGUGUUGACACAGGG
Molecule: long non-coding RNA, 1928 nt
Organism: Mustela putorius furo (domestic ferret)
Lineage: Eukaryota; Metazoa; Chordata; Mammalia; Carnivora; Mustelidae
Source: Ensembl